This 468-nucleotide ribosomal RNA is filed under the name uncultured bacterium. Its description in RNAcentral is "partial 16S ribosomal RNA". It matches the Rfam family "Bacterial small subunit ribosomal RNA", at positions 28 to 507 of the family's 1533-position model. The record is from RNAcentral.
GACGAACGCUGGCGGCGUGCUUAACACAUGCAAGUCGAACGCUGAGGCCCUGCUUUGGUCUUGUGCUCGAGUGGCGAACGGGUGAGUAACACGUAGGUAACCUGCCUUUUACUUGGGGAUAACUUCUGGAAACGGUGGCUAAUACCGCAUAGCAACUCCUACUGCAUGGUGGGGGUUGAAAAGGUUCGGCUGUUGGGGUUGUACGCGCGGCUUAUCUGUUUUUUGGUGGGGUAGUGGCUUACCAAGGCUUUGACGGGUAGCCGGCCUGAGAGGGUGACAGGCCACAUUGGGACUGAGAUAGCGGCAAGACUGAUACGGGAGGAAGCAGUGGGGAAUAUUGCACAAUGGGCGGAGGCAGUAUGCAGCAACGCCGCGUGCGAGAUGACGGCUUUAGGGUUGUAAACAGCUUUCGACUGUGAAGAAGAGUGAGUGACGGUAAUGGGCAAAGAAGCACCGGCUAACUACGUG